UUGGGAACCCAUUUGACCUUCUGAAAAACAAGCUUUUCUUUAGUUAUAAACAUCCAUCUCAGUAAGUAUUGACUUGAAGCUGAAAGAAAAGCCUUAGUUGGCCAUGCUGGAAGAAGAGGAUGCUUUUCUGGUUCAUGGUUCUGUUGAAACAUAUCUACCUGAAAGAGACAGGGCUGAUGUUACCUUUUUCCACUUUGCACUACCUGGUGCCAUUCUAAAUUUCUAAGGGGAAAAAUAGAAAGUUUGUUUACUCUUAAGAUAUUUUAUGAAAUUGUGUGUACUUUCCUAUUUUGCCAAUUAUGUGCCUCAAAGAUUUUAGUUGAGCCUUAGCAAGAAAGUAGGACCUUCCAUUUCAAUACUUCAUUAACACGGUGUAGUGAUACUUUGUCCCUUAGACUGGUGUUUACCAGUAAGAUACCUUUAAUCCACUGUUAAGUAUGAGUGGAUUUGUUUCCAUAGAUUAGCUGGAUUUCCUUUUGGUGAUUGCAUUAGGUUUAAAGUACACAGGUCUCAACUCUCCCCAGGAAAGUUUCCCCUGUUUGACUCCACCUUUAAAAUCCUAAGCCUGACUAGGACAGCCACAAACCACACAAGGUGUAAAACCAUCAUCAGCUAAGUGCCCGUUUUGUUCUUGUUUACCAGAAUCUCCUUUAACUUCU
Molecule: long non-coding RNA, 659 nt
Filed under: Homo sapiens (human)
Lineage: Eukaryota; Metazoa; Chordata; Mammalia; Primates; Hominidae
Description: non-protein coding lnc-RFK-5:1
Source: RNAcentral